Molecule: ribosomal RNA, 486 nt
Filed under: uncultured bacterium
Lineage: Bacteria
Description: partial 16S ribosomal RNA
Rfam family: Bacterial small subunit ribosomal RNA
Source: RNAcentral
GACGAACGCUGGCGGCGUGCUUAACACAUGCAAGUCGAACGGGAUCCAAAGGCUUUUUGUUUUUGGUGAGAGUGGCGAACGGGUGAGUAACACGUGAGUAACCUGCCCCCUUCUUUUGGAUAACCGCAUGAAAGUGUGGCUAAUACAGGAUAUUCCAGGCUGGUCGCAUGAUUGGUUUGGGAAAUGGUUUGGUCUGGUGGGGGAUGGGCUCGCGGCCUAUCAGCUUGUUGGUGGGGUGAUGGCCUACCAAGGCGGUGACGGGUAGCCGGCCUGAGAGGGUGGGAGGGAAAGUGGGGAUGGAGUCACGGCACAGACUCAUGCGGGAGGAGGGAGGGGGGGUUUUGGCAAGAGGGGCGCAAGCCGAAUGCAGCGGCGCGGGGUGAGGGAGGAAGGCCUGGGGGUUUUAACCCUUUUUGGCGGGGUAAAAGGCCCUUGUUUUGGGUGGUUUUGAUUUGAACUGAUAAGAAAGUACCGGCUAACUCCGUC